This 272-nucleotide long non-coding RNA is filed under the name Sorghum bicolor (sorghum). Its description in RNAcentral is "long non-coding RNA (SBIC_LNC004519)". Lineage: Eukaryota; Viridiplantae; Streptophyta; Magnoliopsida; Poales; Poaceae. The record is from RNAcentral.
AUCAUGUACCAGUUCACUUUUUAUUUUGCAAACAAGUUUAAACUAUCAAAUUUUAUUUUAAUUGUGACACAAAGGUAAAGAAUUGGACAGACUGAGAGGGGGAAGAAUUAGCAAACCGGGCAGAAAAGAUGUCUUUCGUCGUAUAGAAGCUUCCUGGUGGGCCCAGGGCUCCAUGGAAGGGUCGGCCGACCCCACCUGGAGGUUCCUGGCCCUGCCACUCGAUUCUACGUCCCUCGGGAAGUCUUUCUGCACUUGUGUCGUUUCCUUUUGCC